GAACGAGACCUUCGGGUCUAGUGGCGCACGGGUGCGUAACGCGUGGGAAUCUGCCCUUGGGUUCGGAAUAACAGUUAGAAAUGACUGCUAAUACCGGAUGAUGACGUAAGUCCAAAGAUUUAUCGCCCAAGGAUGAGCCCGCGUAGGAUUAGCUUGUUGGUGAGGUAAAAGCUCACCAAGGCGACGAUCCUUAGCUGGUCUGAGAGGAUGAUCAGCCACACUGGGACUGAGACACGGCCCAGACUCCUACGGGAGGCAGCAGUGGGGAAUAUUGGACAAUGGGCGAAAGCCUGAUCCAGCAAUGCCGCGUGAGUGAUGAAGGCCUUAGGGUUGUAAAGCUCUUUUACCCGGGAUGAUAAUGACAGUACCGGGAGAAUAGGCUCCGGCUAACUCCGUG
This 397-nucleotide ribosomal RNA is filed under the name uncultured bacterium. RNAcentral describes it as "bacterial SSU rRNA". It matches the Rfam family "Bacterial small subunit ribosomal RNA", at positions 64 to 507 of the family's 1533-position model. The record is from RNAcentral.